RNAcentral lists this ribosomal RNA (253 nucleotides) under uncultured bacterium. Its description in RNAcentral is "partial 16S ribosomal RNA". It matches the Rfam family "Bacterial small subunit ribosomal RNA", at positions 524 to 776 of the family's 1533-position model. The record is from RNAcentral.
UACGGAGGGCGCAAGCGUUGUUCGGGAUUACUGGGCGUAAAGCGCGUGUAGGUGGCCUGAAAAGUCGGGUGUGAAAUCCCGGAGCUCAACUCCGGAACUGCAUCCGAUACUGCCAGGCUCGAGUCUCGGAGAGGAUGGCGGAAUUUCCGGUGUAGAGGUGAAAUUCGUAGAUAUCGGAAGGAACACCAGUGGCGAAGGCGGCCGUCUGGACGAUGACUGACACCGAGACGCGAAAGCGUGGGGAGCAAACAGG